This is a long non-coding RNA of Odontomachus brunneus, 869 nucleotides long. RefSeq lists it as uncharacterized. The record is from RefSeq and is a predicted model, not a curated record. The transcript is spliced from 3 exons. Lineage: Eukaryota; Metazoa; Arthropoda; Insecta; Hymenoptera; Formicidae.
GGCAGACACACACACACACAUACAAAAAGAGAGAGAGAGAGAAUGAGUGAUAUGAUACAACUGAGUUCGAAGAGGGAUAGCUCAUGGUAAAAGGAGGAGAGAACGAGAACAGCGAGUGGCAGAGGCGACCACCUUUUAACAAACGAUACUGUCGCUCUAUGUAACGGUCUUCCAUUAUAUGGAAGACCGUUCGAAUACAUGUAUCCUCGAAUUUUUGGCUCGGAACAGAACGCAGUGUACGAACAGAAAAAAGAUGCGGCGUACAUAAACAUCGAGGUAAGGACAUUUCUAGAAUAGUGCAAAACUGUCAGUAAGAUCUAUCUUGCUAAAGAACAUAGUAAAUUUCUUUAAAAAUAUAGCAAAUUUUUCAAUAGCACAUUUCAGUUCUUAAAAUAUAAAUAGCAUAUAUGAAAUGAAAGGAUUACUGCAGAAUGUUAAUUUACUCCUCGGUUACAACAACUUAAAUUAUGUCUCAAGGACUCGCUGCAACUUGCUCCGGGCGCUAUCGAGGAUCACGAAAGGAAAAUAUACACGGGUCGUAGAAUAAAGAGAUAAAGAGCAAGGAAAGGACCGUUCAAAUACGAAGGACGUUCUUAAUGGUGUUUCGGGCGGGCGACUCACAUCUGUACUUUCAUUAGAAGAGACGGAAUUAAGGAAUUUCGACGGUAGCGAGAAAGAAAGGGAGAGAAAGGAGGCGAGAGGGCAUAGGGAUUAGGUGUUCAACACGCGGAGGAUGCAGCGCGAGUGUAUGAAGUUGGCACCCCACUUUUUGAAAUUUAUAAUUUUGAAAGUUCCAGAUUGUUCUGACUUUGUACCACAUUGUUCCAAAGUGAUAUUGCUUCAUUCGAAACGGCUUUCGAAUAAAACAA